RNAcentral lists this ribosomal RNA (519 nucleotides) under uncultured Pontibacter sp. RNAcentral describes it as "bacterial SSU rRNA". It matches the Rfam family "Bacterial small subunit ribosomal RNA", at positions 340 to 861 of the family's 1533-position model. The record is from RNAcentral. Lineage: Bacteria; Pseudomonadati; Bacteroidota; Cytophagia; Cytophagales; Hymenobacteraceae.
UACGGGAGGCAGCAGUAGGGAAUAUUGGGCAAUGGCCGAGAGGCUGACCCAGCCAUGCCGCGUGCAGGAAGAAGGCCUUCUGGGUUGUAAACUGCUUUUACCAGGGAAGAAAACGCNCCUGCGGGGGUAACUGACGGUACCUGGUGAAUAAGCACCGGCUAACUCCGUGCCAGCAGCCGCGGUAAUACGGAGGGUGCAAGCGUUGUCCGGAUUUAUUGGGUUUAAAGGGUGCGUAGGCGGCCCGUUAAGUCAGCGGUGAAAUCCCGGGGCUCAACCCCGGAACUGCCGUUGAUACUGGCGGGCUUGAGUUCGGUCGAGGCGGGCGGAACUGGCGGUGUAGCGGUGAAAUGCUUAGAUACCGCCAAGAACCCCGAUUGCGUAGGCAGCUCGCUUGGCCGAAACUGACGCUGAGGCACGAAAGCGUGGGGAGCGAACAGGAUUAGAUACCCUGGUAGUCCACGCCGUAAACGAUGAUGACUCGAUGUUGCGACACACUGUAAGCGUCUUAGCGAAAGCGUA